AUGUCAACAUCUGGCUGCUUCUGGCACCUUUUCUGCCUCUCAAGCGUUCUCUAUUCUCCGGCUCUUGCUUGGGAAGGAAGGAAGGAAGCCUUUUCUUGCUGCACCCUUUCUCCUGCAUUCCUAAAGGCCUUGACUUCCGCUUCCAGUCACGUGUUUGAAGCCAAAAUAGUUCUGGCAAGGAAAGCUUGUAGCCUGCCACCUGGAGGCGGUUUGGUGCAUUUGUUCCUCCUGGGAAAAUUGGGAGAGGAAAAAAGGAGGAACCUGCCAUUUCUAGAUGUUCUGGUCAUCCGCAAACCCAAUCAACAAUUGGGCCACACAGUUUACAGAAAACCUACACACACAGAUAGAUACCUUCAUAAAAACUCCAACCAUCACCCAAGUCAAAAAAGGAGCACAAUCAAAGCCCUGACAGACCGUGCACAAAGAAUCUGCGAACCUCACCUCCUCCAAGGUGAACUCAACCACCUAAACUGGGCUCUACAGGCCAAUGGAUACUCCACCACAGACAUCAGAAGAGCUGCAAGGCCAAGAACAAGCCAUGAGAGUCAAGACAAAGAUCCACCCAGAGGAAAGGUGUCCUUACCAUACAUCAAGGGAACUACUGACCGCAUAGGGAAGCUGAUGAAGAAGCACAACCUACAAACUAUCUACAGACCCACGAAGAAAAUCCAACAAAUGCUACGGUCAGCGAAGGACAAGAGGGAUCCUCUCUCUUCUGCAGGAGUCUACCGGAUACCAUGCAGCUGUGGACAAGUCUACAUAGGGACCACCAAACGCAGCGCCCAAACAAGAGUCAAAGAACAUGAAAGGCACUGCAGACUAAUUCAACCAGAGAAAUCAGCCAUAGCAGAGCAUUUGAUGAACCAGCCUGGACACAGAAUACUAUUUGAGAACACAAAAAUGCUGGACCAUUCUAACAACUAUCAUGUCAGACUACACAGAGAAGCCAUUGAAAUCCACAAGCAUGUGGACAACUUCAACAGAAAGGAAGAAACCAUGAAAAUGAACAAAAUCUGGCUACCAGUAUUACAAAACUCAAAAAUCAGAACAGUAAAUAAAAAGCAAUACUCUGAAAACAGAGGGUUUCCAGACAUGAAUCAACCAAGGGCAGUUAACGACUCUAAACAAAGGAUGCCCCAGAGGCAGGAAGAAGACAGCAGAUAA
RNAcentral lists this long non-coding RNA (1164 nucleotides) under Anolis carolinensis (green anole). RNAcentral's name for it is "lncRNA (ENSACAG00000042332.1)". The record is from RNAcentral. Lineage: Eukaryota; Metazoa; Chordata; Lepidosauria; Squamata; Anolidae.